AAGUCGUAACAAGGUCUCCGUUGGUGAACCAGCGGAGGGAUCAUUACCGAGUCUCGUACUCCCAACCCUUUGUGAACAUACCUGUUUCGUUGCUUCGGCAGGCCCGGGGGUCAAACCCCGGCCCGCCGCCGGCCCCCGGAGACGGGGCGCCUGGCGGGCCUGCCGGAGGGCACAGACUCUGUAUUUCAAAACGUACCUCUCUGAGUUAUCUUUACAAAUAAGUAAAAACUUUCAACAACGGAUCUCUUGGUUCUG
This 255-nucleotide unclassified non-coding RNA is filed under the name air metagenome. RNAcentral describes it as "partial contains small subunit ribosomal RNA, internal transcribed spacer 1, and 5.8S ribosomal RNA". The stretch from base 1 to 46 matches the Rfam family "Eukaryotic small subunit ribosomal RNA", at positions 1786 to 1831 of the family's 1831-position model. The record is from RNAcentral.